UACGGAGGGGACUAGCGUUGUUCGGAAUUACUGGGCGUAAAGGGCUCGUAGGCGGCCAACUAAGUCAGACGUGAAAUCCCUCGGCUUAACCGGGGAACUGCGUCUGAUACUGGAUGGCUUGAGUGUGGGAGAGGGAUGCGGAAUUCCAGGUGUAGCGGUGAAAUGCGUAGAUAUCUGGAGGAACACCGGUGGCGAAGGCGGCAUCCUGGACCAUUACUGACGCUGAGGCGCGAAAGCUAGGGGAGCAAACGGG
RNAcentral lists this ribosomal RNA (253 nucleotides) under uncultured bacterium. RNAcentral's name for it is "partial 16S ribosomal RNA". It matches the Rfam family "Bacterial small subunit ribosomal RNA", at positions 524 to 776 of the family's 1533-position model. The record is from RNAcentral.